CACUUCCAAACUCUUGACUAGGAGCUUGAAACAACUGUCUUCUCAGGUAGCAAGCUCCAGGGUUAACUCUGAAUCCUGUGCGUGCUGGGACAAGACGUUGGGAGUUCAGUCAGUGGUUUGAGGAUACACAUGGAGGGUAACUCAAAGGUGUUGGCACUAUUUAAGUCUUCCCUAGGCCAUAACUUGAAGACUUGCAUUUGAUUUACACAAAGGCCCUUUUCCAGUGCCCUGGCAGUACAAAGGUUGCAUUUGCUUAGCCUCUUCUGAACUGGAAUUGUGGGAGUAGUGAAUGUAAGCACAUGUUCAUCUUUUGACCUGUGCUGAUACACUGAAAGAAUGGUUGGUAACUGGCAUAAGGAGAUUCAGGAGUGGCUGAAAUCAAGGCAGCCAAGGACAACAAUUUCACUCCAAAGGCAGAUAAAAUUGAUAAAACUCAUAUGUUAAAUAACUUCCUACUGAGUCUCUACCUUGAUAAUUUAAAAAUGUCUCCUGGGAGAAAUAGAAAAUAUUCAUUUUCUGGGUUUCAUCUGGAAUUCUAGAAUGUAUACUUUCUACCCUCAUGUAGUUUUUUGUAACAAGAAAGCUCUUUCUUCUCUUUUGAGAGUGAAUUAUGUUCAGUACAAAAAGCAAUUAUUUUUUAGUUUAUUUAUAAGUUUAUCAGUUUUUCCAGUGUUGCUGUGAGUUAUUAAUACACUGUCUGAAAGAUUUAAUUUUUUUCCCCAGUGAUCAGCAUUCAAUGUAACUGUCUGGAAUUGUAUCUGUAUUUCAUUUUGUGCCAUUAUGAUAUUGGUUUACUGUAUUUUCUUUACUAAGCAGACACUCAGCACCUAACUCAUAGUGCAGGGUGUAGCUUUACAACCAGAUGAUAUUUAUUACUCUGGUAAGCUAUUUGAAAAAAGAACCCCAGACUCUAACUUGCAUGAAAAUGAACAUAUUUUCAUGUAAAUUCCUAAAGAGGAAACUGGCAGAAUUAACAAGUAUGAAAAAGUAUUGCUCUCUUCACCAAAGUUUGCCCAAAGGCUGGGAAGCAGCUGAAUUACUGGAUAAUAUUAGUAUCUUGGUUUUACUGUGAAACAGAUGUAUGCUGCCUGAUCUUUUUCCUGUGGGAAAAAAAGAACACAUAACAACAACAAUCACACUGCCCCUCCUUCUGCCCCAAACUUAGCAUUUUAUAUAUGUUAGAUAUAAAUAAACUGUGAUUUUUUUUUUUAAACUUCAGCUAGCAACUUUGUCAUCAAUUCUUGUGAGAUGAGAAUCAGGCUUUGUAUUUAAUAAGAGAUUCACUGUUAUUUAAUUACAUGAAUGUGGUCAGAAAACAGUCUUUCUGACCAGAAAGUGGAAAUAGGAUUGUGAUGUUGAAUAUAUGGUUUUGUUGCAAGCAGUGUUUUUUCUAUUAGCACUGUUGACCCUGAGCCCUGAUUUUGUAGACACAUAACUUGGUUGCUAAAAAUAGGAAAAUAGGCUUAUGUAUGUAAUUUAUUUUAAAAUGUUUUGGUCUUUUUUUUUAUGGAAGAGAGAGAGAUAUUUGGAGAGGGGGAAAUAUGGAUCACGGUAUUUGUAACAAAUGCAAAAUGUUUACUAAUACUAGUUGCUUUUGUAGACUUUUAAUUUCCAAAUAAAUUUGAAAAGUGGUUAGUUUGUAGCAUUGGACUUAUUUUAUUGUUCUGUCGUUCCUGGCAGUGUUUAGAGCAUGAUCAUUCCAAAUUUCAAGAGGAAGAAAGAGAAUUACUGCCAGUGAUUGCCAUCUUAGCGCCUCUGCAAACCUGGGGGCAUCAUCACUAUCACAGGCUGAUAUUGCACAGCUAUAUGAUCAACUGGAAUCUCAUUUUGAAAUAGAGAAGUGCAAGAUUUCAAACUUACGGGUAUAAUUGUAUGUAUUUUCAGAAAUUGAAAUGAGCUUAUGCAGAAAUAUUCAAAAUAGACCUUGAAGGAGGAACCAAAAAUGUCCAGCGAAGUGUAUACAUUAAGAAGUUUUAAGAACGUGUUUUGUAUUUAAAAGGCAACAAUUCCUUGGAACCCUAGAAAAGGGGGAAGCUCUUACCCAGUGGGACUUUGCUUCUACACUGGCAUUUUCCGUUUAAUGAAAUUUCUGAAAUAUAAUGGUGUAACCACUUUAAUAUUUAUGUCUAUACACAGUUAAAUACCAUUUUAUGUCUUACAUUUUUUUAAAAGAAGUGGACUAGGAACAUAGUGUAGCCCGUGCUGCAUUAAUUGUCAGAAAAACAAUAUGUAUAUUCAGUUGAGACAAGGAAAGCCAGAAAGUUUUGGCUGUAAUUAGCAGUUUUUGGGGAGGAAGACUCUACUUUUGAAAACAACUUGUUUGCAGUAGUUGAAAUUUGAUUACUCAAAAUUAUCACAUUAUCAUAUUGUUGCUACAGUCUGUUUUCAAAAACAUAGCUUUAGUACAGUGAAACAGAUUUCAAAGUUACCAGGAAAGAAGAACAUUUAACUAUAAGCAUGUGAGUCAAGCUAUCUCUCCCUGCGUAGAGUGAUGUCAACAGCCACAGGUUCUUCUGAGCUGGACAGAAUGCUUCAGCACGAAAGCUUCACAGCUGUUUUAGUCCUUCCUUUUCCUGAGCUUAUAUAUGCUGUGACAAUAUGGGCGGUUUGGAUCAAAGCUGAAUUGCAUUUGAUUGCCCUGAAGCAGAGAACAGAAGAACUCGCAUCUUGAAAUUAGACAUAGUUGGAUUUUCAGUGAAGGUGUUUCAGUGAAGACUUAAAUUCCUGAAUCUGACCCUAAGUGCUGUGGUCUCACUUUUGUGUCUGCACUGAGUUUGUUACCUGGUGCCAAAUGAUCCUCUCUUCAUCAGGAUAAAGUCACUACAUUAUCAGCUUUUCACACCAGCUACUCAUCUCAACUGGAGAAAACAGCACUUGGGAGUCAGAGAGGAAAAGUGUUCAGUGAAGAAAUUCAGUGAUGAGAGAAGAGUUUCAUUGGUGUUGGAAGGCAAACACAGAAAAGUAAACACAGCCCAGUGGAUUACAACAGAUGAAUGGUCACCACUUAGUAACAACAUUAAAUCCUGCCUUUCAAGAGUCAAAAGGACUGGAAUCUGCUUCUAAGAUAUUUAGUAAUCUACUGGAAAAGUUUGCCACCAGUUCUAGCUUUUAUCCCAAGUUUGCUGUUGUUCUGACGAUAUUUGAUGAGGAAAUUACCUGCUACAAGGAGAUGUUUAAAAAUCACAGACACCCACUGUUUUAGUGUCAUCCAUGUUUAUUGCUGAAGUUUUGCCAAAAGAACACCCUGCAGUUCUCCAGGCUUCAGGAGUGUUGCCUGUCAGAAAAGCCAGUGGAACUCCUUAACAAUAACUGGACUUGCCUUCAACCAGCAUAAGCCUCGUUCUUCCUAAACAGAUGGAUGUUUCACAGAGGGGCAAAUGAAAGCAUCUCUAUGAAGCACCUGAGACUCCUCUGUCACCCAGUGUAACUUGUCCCAGGAAGCCCUUGGGUAUUUGCCUAGAGACAGAGAUUGUGAAUCUGAAGCCGAUACCUCUUUAGUCACUGAGAGUGGAUUUGGGAUUUUACGUGCUGCUUAUACAAUGGUAAAACUGGGACUAUCACCAUAAAUAUUUCUGUUUGUUUAAAUUAAAGAAUGGACGUGAUACACUUUAUGAAAACACACCAGUGACUGCAGGCAGUUUAAAAUGGUCUUAUGAGUUACAAGAGGCUUCUCAGGCAUGGAACACAUUUUCAGCACAUCAAUUCUCUGUAAGUAUUGCUGUAAAACAUUGUACAAUGGGGCUUAAAACACUUCAGGCACUUUCUGAAGUUAUAGCCACAUUGUGCACUUAGAAAUGACAUUGAGAUGAAAUCUCUUUUGUCUCUGUAGAGUUUUGCAGAUAGGGGAAACAAAUUGUGUUUUGCAAAAAUAUGAAUAUUGGAAUAAAUGUAUUAAUAUAAUGAAGAAAUGGAGCUCUGCUAGACACGGGAUCUACACCUUCUCUGUGCCUCAGACCUCAGUGUAAUAAUUCUCUGGAAUUUGGAUGGUAUGAGGUAAUUUUAGUCAGAAGGUUACACAGUAGUAAAUUUCAUUGCAUGACAUUAAGAAUUUCUUUUAAUUGUUUUAGCAAUUAUUUUGUUUUACGGUAAAAUUCUCUUUCAUUCUAGAGAGAAGCAUAAGUUGUGUAUCUGUUUUCAUGAAUUUUUACUUCAGCGUGCAAAAAAGUGUAACAGGAUUGUGUGUUUGUAUUAUACAUGUUCCCUGAGAAGCAUUAGAGGUUUAAAAUAAGAGAAAUGACAUUUAAAUUUCAUAUUUCAUAUUUAUAUUGUACAUGGGAUCUAAAUGAAGAGACUAGAACUGCAGGACACAGAUGGCAAAGACCUGUAGCUCUUGCUUUCAGGAGGCUGCUAUAAAUUCUGCUUCAGUAAAUUCUGUAGUCAUGAUAAGGUAACUUGAGAUAGCUUUUUACUUGGUGUCUGAUUGCCCUUUUCUGAAUAACAAAAUCUUUUGUGAUUCUGUAGCUUUCUGCUAUUUCUCCAAGGGGUGUAAUAUCUUGAAAUUUUACAACAUCCUUCUAACACCAAGCAGUUUCACUGCUUUCAUAUUGCAAGGGACACACUAGGUAAAUAAAGAAGAUUCUUAUUGACAGAUGCAUGUGAAUAUAAAAGCAUACUAGAAAAUCGACAUAACCAUAAUAAACUACACUAAACUAAAACCAAACUGUUUUCAACUAUUUUUUGCAAUUAUCUUGUCUGUGGGAUGGUUGUUAGUCUGCUUGUAGUUAAUCAUACAUUGUAGUCUUAUUGAGUGUAUGUUUACUUUUCUUUGAAUACAAAAGGGUGACCUCUAAUGCAUUAAUUUAUUAAAUGCAUGGACAGAGCCAGCUCCUCCCAUCAGGAAAUUUAUGGAAUCAAGCAUAAGUGGCUUACAAGACUAGUAAAGGAUGAUGAAAGUUCUCUUACUAGGCUAUGUAGAAUGCUUUUCAGGGACUGGAAUAAAAUCCAUUGUUGAUUUUAGUCCAGUUCUCAGAGAUAUAUUUUGACAAAACUACUAUCAUUACUGGGGUAAGUACUGAUUGGAAGAAUCGGCCUCCCUUGUAGAAACAAAGAAAAAAGUUACCUAAUGGGACUUCUUCCUGCUGAUGGAAAUGGCAUCUCAGGAACUGGGCAGAGACAUAUUGGACUUCUCUGUAAAUGUUAGAAUGAACCUUUUCAAUCAAAGUUGUGAUGAUCUUAGAUUCAUUUUAGUUAAAAUAGUUCUAGUUUGCAUAUGGAGAGCUAGUAAGAUAGACUUUCCAAGGCUCUAAACAUAUUCUUAUAUAAUAAGAACAAGCUGAUAUCAUCCAGUUUUGAAACAGGGUAAUGUCCUCACUGAGAAUUUUACCAGUUUGGCUGCACUGUCUGUGAACUAAAACCCGAGUAUUUCACACAGAAGCUAUGACAGAAAGACAAAGGAGGAGCUGCAGUAAGAGAAACUUGUCCUGCUUUUGUCUAGUCAUCCAUCUCAUGGAGAGCCAGAAAUGUUCAGUGUUAUAGUCUAUCCUGGCACUUUUUGUAUACAUUGAAAGCUCUACUAAUGUACAAAUAGGAUGCAGACUCUGCUAUAUAUAGUAAGAAGAAGGUUGAAUCCAUUGAGAACUUGGCAGAUAUUUUUAAAACUAGGAGUCUGAGCAUAUUUGAUUUUCAUUCUUUUCUCCCAAAUGAAAAGACCAAUGGUUUAUUGCAGCAUAAUAGGUAAACUUGAAUGUGGUACAGAACAGACUGAACAAAGAAGGAAGAAAUCUGUUUAACAAUAUUUCUGAUAACCUUAGAAAGAAUAAGAGUUUUUCUUACUCUCCUUAUACUGCAAAUUUAACUGUAAUUACAAAGCUGUGCCAGAGGCUGUGCCAUGCUGCAUGGAGAGUUUUGACAAACAACUGAUGCUGCUUCUAACUUGGCAGAGUGCAGAUCUCUGUGAGUGUAAUGAACAGGCAAGGAGACCUUGCUUAAAAUGUGGAUGAGAGAAUCAGAAUAUUCAAGCAUAAUGUGAAAUUGGAUGUUGUGUAGAUUGAGUCAAACACUUUUUUUAUCAAGAAAAAAAUGGCAAAAAUCUUUUCAUCUAUCCUUUGAUUAAAAAAAAAAGAGUGAAAUGUUCAAACUAUGGAGUACGAUUCAAGAAACAGUAGAAAAGAUUUACCAGAUAAUCAACAUGACAGUAGAUCCAGUGAAUAUUUUGUUCUGGGAGUAGCUAUUGUCACUAAGUAGGUGUCAAUACUUAGAAAAGCCAGGAUUAAGUAAAAGCUAAAACUGUUUUCAAAUAUUUGCACUUGCUGAUGUAAAUCUGACUCCAAAGGGAAAUAGUUUUCAGUAACUAGUUCCAGGUGUACUUGUAAAAGUUACAAUGGAAAGGUAAUUAUGUUGUAAAUAGUGGGAAUGCACUUCAUCAAAGUGAGAGUUUCUUUAUUCCUGGACUCAGUUAGCUGAAAUAAGGAAUACACACUGGAAAGCGCAAUUCUAAACCCCUGUUACUCUAAAUUACUCUUUCCAGGACAAUCAGUAUUUGCUCCAGGCAGAUCCUCUUUCUGAUGAAUGGAAACUCUACACUGAAUACAUACACUACAUGAUUGUAGAUGGACUGUUCAAAGCUAUCAAGUGUUCUCUUCAGUAUCUGACUGAAAACAUUGAGACAACAUUUAAAUCCACUACUUUAUUUGAAGUGCAGCUUUUUCUUAAUAGCAGUGAAAUGACUUUUAAACGUUCUUUGUACUUAAUGUCAAUGGCAAUUUCUGUGAUAUUAUGGAGAGUCUAAUCAAAACCAACUAUGAUACUGCAUCAUCUGUAGACAGAUUUGUCAAAUACCUUGGGAAAGACCCUUUUCAGUUAUUCUUACUUUUGCUACUUUUCCUUUUUAAAAAUUUUUUUGUUAAUGUCACAAUUGACCUUUCCUCUAGGCAUUUGAAUGUAGUUGUUUUCCCAGUCCAGUGACCCUUAUCCAGUGGCUUAUGUGAAGAAGGCUAAUAUCUGAAGAGAGGCUGUGAGGCUUUUUCCCAUCUGUUUUCUGUGAGCUGUCAUAUUCUGCUCUCCUUAACCUCUGCCUCUCUUGUUUUAUGAAUGCAUCCAGUCAUUUCCAUCAGCCACCAGCAUAUAUUCUUUGAAUGAUAUUAGCUACCUUUUUAACUUCUUCCGGUUCACUUGCCUAAUUGAGAGUGCCUUUCUAAUACACACUGAAAUCUGCAGCUGGAUGAUGGACUGUCUGCAAAGCUGGUUCAUGAACUUGCCUUCUACUUUUGCUUGUAUACUGUGCCCAGGAGGUCUUUGGCUUUACAGUGCCUGUAUUACUGAGCAUUUGGUGUCAAAUGACUUCUAUAUAUUCCAGGUUGGGCAUUUCUCAAGAACUGUGGGUUUCUUUGUGAUUGUUGGUUGAAUAUUUGCUUUCUUGGUGCCUCAUUUCUCAUUAGGACAGCUAAUACUGUUUCUGCUCCCAGAUCUGCAAGUACCAUUGAGCUUAUUUAUCCACAAUUUCCUUCUCUAUAAGCUGUGAGGUUAUGUCCACAGAUGGCAGAAAAAAGUGGUUUGUGAAUUGCAGUGGGACACUUUUGCUAGAAAUUUAAUGUUAAUGCAAGUUUUUGUGCAAGAGUAUUCUUGCUGGACUAGCAGGACGUGCAAAAUGCUUUGUGCAAUUUCUUCCUUUUGCAGGUCUUUUUUAAUAUCAGAUGGAAACAAAUAUCAAUAAAUAAAUAUAUCAAAAUCACCGCUUAUCCAGGGAAAAAUAGGUUAACUGUAAAUUGGUUACACUGUAUAAUAGUGAAAAAUAAACAAAGGAUAAGGUUGGACUCAAUAUUCCAGUUUUUGGAACGCUAUGAAAAAUGACACUGAUGGUCAUAAGGACCUGAAUCCCAAUCCAUCUCACUAACUAGUGCUGGAAGUUAAAUCAACAUGUUGGAGGAUGUGAGUAAUAACAAGUGCAAUGUUUUGUGUCUGACUGAUGACAAUAGGUACUUUGAAUUUUUGAUGUUAGUGUGAUGCAUGAAACAGAAAUUAUAAUUCUGGAGAAACAUGUAUCCAAGCAGUCAUUCCUAUUAACUUGUUUCAGGGAGCAGACAGGAAACUUGAUGUUAACUGUCAAGCUAUAAUUGUCAUUGCCAUCAGUACAAUAUCGUGGGUCUUGGCAUGUGACUUAGCUCUAAGGAUGUCUUUUCUUUCUUGAAUUUACUCUUUGCCUCCACUGCUUUUUCACUUUUGGAUGUUCAUUUAGCAUGACUUAGAUCAGAUGGAUACCCUGGAAAAAAUAAGUCAAGUAGCUCUGAGGAACAAAGAGUGGUACUUAAUGGAUUGAUGAUGAAAUUAGAUGUAUAAAGCAGUUUCUACUCUGUGGACGAUUUCUUAGUAAAGAGGAGGUGGAAUUUUAUGAAAAUUAUGAGGUUCAUGAGACUUAGUUCAUUCUAAAGAAUAGGUAUUUCCAUUUUUGCCUAUUAUACCACCUUGAGCCUAUUAAUAAAAUAUGUCUAUUAAUGAAAUAUAAGUAAUUACAUUACUUUGUUGAUUUGUUUAAAAUUUAGUGUUCAUCAUGUUUCAUUUUGUUUGUUGUUUUUUUUUUAGGCCCAAUAUU
Molecule: long non-coding RNA, 8527 nt
Organism: Pseudopipra pipra
Lineage: Eukaryota; Metazoa; Chordata; Aves; Passeriformes; Pipridae
Exons: 6
Source: RefSeq, a predicted model, not a curated record